GUGUCUGUGCGUGUGUGUGUAGAAGUGGGGUGCACUUUGAAGUGUGUGUGUGUGUAGAAGUGGGGUGUGUGUGUGUGUUAUCCAAGAGAAGAAAAAAAAAAAUCCAAACCUGCUUUCAAAAUAUCCAGGCUAUGUGUCAGUCUGUGUGUGUUAUCUGAGAGAAAAAAAAAUGCAAUAUAUAAAGUGUAAAAUAUUGUACUAAUUCAUUAUAUAUAAUGAUUGUGGUGUCUUUAAACUUUUUUCAUUAAUUACUACAUAUUUUUUACACUCACAAUGUUUGCCAGCUCGCUAUAUAAUCAAUUUAAAUCAGUUAAAUCCAUCAUGCAAUGCAUUUCCUUCCAAUUUUUUGUGAUAAACUAAUAGAUAAUUGACUAAAUAAACAUCUUGCAAAGUUUCAAUUAAAAUUUCCAAGUUUUUCUUACAAUUUCCGUGGUUUCCAUGUAAUUUUUAUCGAUAUCGAUAUUUUACCGAUAUUUCCAUCGAUAUUUCCGUGUUUUCGGACUACCGAUAUUUCCGAUAUUACCGAUAUUUAAUACCUUGAUCUCGAUGCAUGCUAAAAUGUACCUAUAACAGUGUUUAAUUGUCAGAAAACGAAAAUUCUUUACAAAUUUUCUUUUGUAAUUUUUAAGUUGUUAAAAAAAACAUGUAGACGGGUGAAAAAGGGGUAAAUGGGUAAAAAAAUGAUAAACGGGUUCAAAAACGGGUAAACGGGUAAAUGUUAUGGUUAAAUGGGUAAACGGUUAUGGUUAAAUGGGUACACGGUUAUGGGUAUGGUUAACCAUUUAUAAACGGUUAUGGGUAUGAGUAUAACCGUUUAUGCAAUUACCCAACGGAUAAACAGUUAUGCGAGUAUGAACAUAAACGGUUAUGGCUAAAUAACCGCGGUUACCCGCCACCAUAACCGUUGCCCAUCAAUAACCAACACCUCCUGCUUUGUCCAUAAUAUUAAAGUUCCUCCAAACCAAAUUACCCUGCAAAUGAAUUAAACCACAGAUUCAUAUGUAACAACAAUAAUUCUAGUUCAUAUUUCCAUUCCACUAUCUACACACUACAAACCAAUAGGUCGACCCAGCUCGCCUGUAAAUGGACUAGGUCGGCCCAGCUCACCUAUAAAUGGACUAGGUUAGCCUAGCUCGCCUACUCAUACCUACUGCUAUAACCUUAUUUUUAGAUAAAGCAACUUCAAAAUUGAAUUUACUAAAGUUAAUGUCCAUAUUGUGCUCAUCAGCUACUAUGUAUAUUCUACUUUAUGUGUAGAAAUUGUGGUAGUAACGAGUUAAGAGUGGCUAAAAUAGAUAUUAACCUCCACAUGUUGAUUUAGUGAAACUUGACAUGGAUAAGGCAGUUUCAACUAUUUAUAAUGCGACUAUUGAAUUAGAUGAUAGAGAUGCAUUGUGUUGUUUGUAAAGCAGGUUGUUUGAUACUUAUAACCCCAUGUUCAGAAGAAGUAACUCUAGAAUUGAAUUAAUGUAGUUAAAUAUCAUGAUGUACAUGUUGAGAAUGAAUCUCACAUUGAUGGGAGGAGAGAUCUUACAUGGGCUUAUAAGAAGUUGGGCUACUCUUCAUAUUGCCAAUUUGUUUGAUGGUGGAACCUCAACUUUCUUCAGUACACAUGACACUAGUAUUUAUAUUCUACUAUGUGUUCAUAUUGUGUGAAUUGAGUUAUGGAGGCUGAAAUGGAAUUCAACAUCUACAUGCUCAUUGAGUGAAGGCUUGGCGUGGAUGGAGCAUUUUCAACUACUGAUAAUGUUCUCCUUGAGAUGUUAGAGAUGCAUUGCUUUGUUUUUAUGACAAUGUGUCUUUAAUGUCUUCCAAAAAACCUUGAUUAUGUAUACAACAACAACAACAACAAAGCCUUUUCCCACUAAGUGGGGUCGGCUAUAUGAAUCCUAGAACGCCAU
Molecule: long non-coding RNA, 1901 nt
Filed under: Malus domestica (apple)
Lineage: Eukaryota; Viridiplantae; Streptophyta; Magnoliopsida; Rosales; Rosaceae
Description: long non-coding RNA (MDOM_LNC003394)
Source: RNAcentral